This 502-nucleotide ribosomal RNA is filed under the name uncultured Pseudomonas sp. Its description in RNAcentral is "bacterial SSU rRNA". It matches the Rfam family "Bacterial small subunit ribosomal RNA", at positions 60 to 559 of the family's 1533-position model. Lineage: Bacteria; Pseudomonadati; Pseudomonadota; Gammaproteobacteria; Pseudomonadales; Pseudomonadaceae. The record is from RNAcentral.
AGUCGAGCGGAGAAGGAGCUUGCUCCUGGAUUCAGCGGCGGACGGGUGAGUAAUGCCUAUGAAUCUGCCUGGUAGUGGGGGACAACGUUUCGAAAGGAACGCUAAUACCGCAUACGUCCUACGGGAGAAAGCAGGGGACCUUCAGGCCUUGCGCUAUCACAUGAGCCUAGGUCGGAUUAGCUAGUUGGUGAGGUAAUGGCUCACCAAGGCGACGAUCCGUAACUGGUCUGAGAGGAUGAUCAGUCACACUGGAACUGAGACACGGUCCAGACUCCUACGGGAGGCAGCAGUGGGGAAUAUUGGACAAUGGGCGAAAGCCUGAUCCAGCCAUGCCGCGUGUGUGAAGAAGGUCUUCGGAUUGUAAAGCACUUUAAGUUGGGAGGAAGGGGAGUAGAUUAAUACUCUGCUGUUUUGACGUUACCGACAGAAUAAGCACCGGCUAACUCUGUGCCAGCAGCCGCGGUAAUACAGAGGGUGCAAGCGUUAAUCGGAAUUACUGGGC